This 301-nucleotide ribosomal RNA is filed under the name uncultured bacterium. RNAcentral's name for it is "partial 16S ribosomal RNA". It matches the Rfam family "Bacterial small subunit ribosomal RNA", at positions 509 to 807 of the family's 1533-position model. The record is from RNAcentral.
CAGUCGCCGCGGGAAUACGUAGGGUGCAAGCGUUAUCCGGAAUUAUUGGGCGUAAAGAGCUCGUAGGCGGUUUGUCGCGUCUGCUGUGAAAACUGGAGGCUCAACCUCCAGCCUGCAGUGGGUACGGGCAGACUAGAGUGCGGUAGGGGAGAUUGGAAUUCCUGGUGUAGCGGUGGAAUGCGCAGAUAUCAGGAGGAGCACCGAUGGCGAAGGCAGAUCUCUGGGCCGUAACUGACGCUGAGGAGCGAAAGCGUGGGGAGCAAACAGGAUUAGAUACCCCCGUAGUCCCUGUCUCUUAUAC